GGAAUAUUGCACAAUGGAGGAAACUCUGAUGCAGCGACGCCGCGUGAGUGACGAAGGCCUUCGGGUUGUAAAGCUCUGUUCUUAGGGAAAAAGAAAGUGAUUGUACCUAAGGAGAAAGGACCGGCUAACUUCGUGCCAGCAGCCGCGGUAAGACGAGGGGUCCAAGCGUUGUUCGGAAUUAUUGGGCGUAAAGCGGGUGUAGGUGGCUCUAUAAGUCAGGAGUGAAAUCCCCGAGCUUAACUUGGGAAGU
This 250-nucleotide ribosomal RNA is filed under the name uncultured bacterium. RNAcentral's name for it is "partial 16S ribosomal RNA". It matches the Rfam family "Bacterial small subunit ribosomal RNA", at positions 358 to 622 of the family's 1533-position model. The record is from RNAcentral.